Molecule: ribosomal RNA, 453 nt
Filed under: uncultured Paraprevotella sp.
Lineage: Bacteria; Pseudomonadati; Bacteroidota; Bacteroidia; Bacteroidales; Prevotellaceae
Description: partial 16S ribosomal RNA
Rfam family: Bacterial small subunit ribosomal RNA
Source: RNAcentral
ACGGAAGGCAGCAGUGAGGAAUAUUGGUCAAUGGGCGAGAGCCUGAACCAGCCAAGUAGCGUGAAGGAUGACUGCCCUAUGGGUUGUAAACUUCUUUUGUUCGGGAAUAAAGGAGCCUACGCGUAGGCUUUUGCAUGUACCGUUCGAAUAAGCAUCGGCUAAUUCCGUGCCAGCAGCCGCGGUAAUACGGAAGAUGCGAGCGUUAUCCGGAUUUAUUGGGUUUAAAGGGAGCGUAGGCGGCCUUUUAAGUCAGCGGUCAAAUGUCAGCGCCCAACGCUGGCCUGCCGUUGAUACUGAUGGGCUUGAAUACACACAAGGAAGGUGGAAUUCGUCGUGUAGCGGUGAAAUGCUUAGAUAUGACGAAGAACUCCGAUUGCGAAGGCAGCCUUCUGGGGCAUGAUUGACGCUGAGGCUCGAAAGUGCGGGAAUCAAACAGGAUUAGAUACCCUGGUA